UACGUAGGGUGCGAGCGUUAAUCGGAAUUACUGGGCGGAAAGCGUGCGCAGGCGGUUCGUUAAGUCAGCUGUGAAAGCCCCGGGCUCAACCUGGGAAUUGCGGUUGAAACUGGCGAACUAGAAUCUGGCAGAGGGGGGUGGAAUUCCACGUGUAGCAGUGAAAUGCGUAGAGAUGUGGAGGAACACCGAUGGCGAAGGCAGCCCCCUGGGCUGAGAUUGACGCUCAGGCACGAAAGCGUGGGGAGCAAACAGG
RNAcentral lists this ribosomal RNA (253 nucleotides) under uncultured bacterium. Its description in RNAcentral is "partial 16S ribosomal RNA". It matches the Rfam family "Bacterial small subunit ribosomal RNA", at positions 524 to 776 of the family's 1533-position model. The record is from RNAcentral.